GAACCCCCAGAUACUAAACCAUUGCCUUGAAAGCCAUCUUCCUACUUAUAGUUGACCCUUCAACAAGCAUAAGGUCUCUUCAUUUUUUUCUGAAGCUUUAUUAUCUCUGACUCAGUCUGUGGCCAGACUAGAGCCAGGAACCAUUUAUUCUCAAGACCCAAAAGGCUAAUAAUGACUGCUGUGGAAAAAUACUACCUUCCCAAAAGUGCUUAUGGAUUUAAAGAUCAUCUUAAAUAUACAGAAGCAGAAACACGUGAGCUGAAAUAUAAAGGAAGAGAAAUAUUAAGUGUUUUUGAAAUUUGUACGAAAAAUUAAACAUGCAGAUGGAUAAAGUGACUCAGUGAAUGCAGCUGUUUAAGACGGUGGAGUGGAGUGAUUGAUUGCUGCUUGCUGGAGCCCAGGGCUGAAAGCUAUUUAGCCAAGCUGAGCAACAUGAAUUGUCUUAUUACACGAGUACAACAAUUUGCGCCCUCAAAUUUUUCUUCCUACACUUUAUGAACACCACAAAGAGAACACAAGUCUACAGCAUGACUUUUUAAAUCCAUUUCUACUCUAGUUUCACACACUGCGGUUUCCCCCAUGUUUCUCAUUUCUGAAGCUUCCUGAGAGCUUUCCCCAGACCCAGUCUGGGCCCUGUUUUUGUUUGUUUGUUUGUUUGUUUUCUUUCUACCACUUUCCUUCUGAAUGUGCAUGACAGAAGUUCAGAAGAAACAAUCUGGAAAAAGAGGCUUUUCCUCAGAUGGCAGAAGGCAUUGGGAGACACUCAGAAAGAAAUGGCAAAUCCUCUCCAGCAAGCAGGAAUGAGACAAUGGCGGGGAACAUUCAUAUGAGUGAUUUAUCUAUAUUAGUAAAUUGGACCAGAGUGAACCAAGUAUGAGAAAUAGGUUAUACCAGACAAGAGGAUCAAAGUGAGGUAUGGGAUAAGUUGACAUAUACUGUAUAAGUUUAAUCUUUGGUCUGAUAAACUUUACCUCACUCCAUUUUUUUUUUAAUUUAUUUAGAGA
Molecule: long non-coding RNA, 1004 nt
Organism: Leopardus geoffroyi (Geoffroy's cat)
Lineage: Eukaryota; Metazoa; Chordata; Mammalia; Carnivora; Felidae
Exons: 3
Source: RefSeq, a predicted model, not a curated record